This is a non-coding RNA of Peromyscus maniculatus bairdii (prairie deer mouse), 816 nucleotides long. The record is from RefSeq and is a predicted model, not a curated record. NCBI's taxonomy places the organism in Eukaryota, Metazoa, Chordata, Mammalia, Rodentia, Cricetidae.
UGCACAUGCUGAACAGGAUCUACGGUUGACUCUGGGUAUGGACCUCAAUAGAAGAGUCAACAGCAGUCUUUAUGGUUGGAACCAAACUAGUCAACAUGUGUAAUAUUGCUGGUUGAAGUAGCAGUCAGAAGUAAGGUCUGAAUGUCUAAAAUGAAUAUGAUGCUUGGUGGAUGAGAUGGCCAUGAGUACACAGUAAUAAUAUGGGAUGACCAAAAGAUUGAAAGAUAAUCAGGAGAUUAAAUAUUUUAAUUUUCUGGUUGCUAUGACGAUGAUCAUGGAACACAGGAUGAAGAGCAAAGGCCAUGGAUAAACAGAAGAGAUGGCAAAGUGUCCGAGUCACACAGCAGGCAGGCUGCAGCACAUUGCUCACAGACUUGGGGGUGAAAGAAGAUGGUUUGGGUUUGCCAUGAGCCAAAAAGUACGCAUGUUCCAGCAUGUGGGGUAGAUAUUUUUUCUGAGAAGGAAAUAUUUUGUCAUAACAUGGACUUAAGUUAAACCCAAAAGCAGAAGAGGAUGUUGAUUUUCAUAGGGCAUCCAUAUCUGAGAAAUCAACCUGUCACAUCUGCUAAUAAAUGCAAAAGAGAAGGAAAUGAAAAGCAUUGGUCAUCUCGAAACUGACGUUAUUCAGCUGUCAACACACUUUGCAAAUGCUGAGCCUGGUGUUAUUGACAGUGUAGUGUCGUCAGAUUGACUAAGUGAACUGGGGCUUCACUUCUAAGUGGCUCUUCAAAUGGAAAGCUGAAAGAACUGUGUCACCUUAAUGGAGAAAGACUAAGAAGAUUCUCUCUCUGAAUAUAUUUAGUGGAAGUGUGAAUG